RNAcentral lists this long non-coding RNA (403 nucleotides) under Lepisosteus oculatus (spotted gar). Its description in RNAcentral is "lncRNA (ENSLOCG00000022901.1)". Lineage: Eukaryota; Metazoa; Chordata; Actinopteri; Semionotiformes; Lepisosteidae. The record is from RNAcentral.
GCGCCGGACAGGAAGUCCCUUGUGCGUUUCCGCAAUACGGAAGUGAGCGGAGCGCAGUCGUGCUGAACCGAGGAAGGGCUGGAGACGUUUAUUUACUACAACUAAAUGAGGCUGUGGAAGUAAACAUUAACCAGGAUUACACCCACGGCAACCCUUGGCGAAGCAGGCGACGCUGCUGGUUCUUUGCCCGAAGGCUCAGCAUGGAGCCGACUGCUUCCGGCAUGUUCUGCGACAGGAUGCUCAGCAUGGUCAAUUCUGAGGAUGUGAACGCCAUCAUCCAGGCGCAGAGGCACAUGUGAGUACGAUGCGUGGCUCUCGUCUAACUGCACUGUAAUUCUGAGAAUAAAAAAACCGUUUUGUCAGAUGACAUGCAGAUAUAUCUGUGUUGUAUAACACAGGAAUU